This 443-nucleotide ribosomal RNA is filed under the name uncultured bacterium. Its description in RNAcentral is "partial 16S ribosomal RNA". It matches the Rfam family "Bacterial small subunit ribosomal RNA", at positions 338 to 795 of the family's 1533-position model. The record is from RNAcentral.
CCUACGGGUGGCAGCAGUGGGGAAUAUUGGGCAAUGGGCGCAAGCCUGACCCAGCAACGCCGCGUGAAGGAAGAAGGUCUUCGGGUUGUAAACUUCUUUUGUCAGGGACGAAGAAACUGACGGUACCUGACGUAUAAGCCACGGCUAAAUACGUGCCAGCAGCCGCGGUAAUACGUAGGUGGCAAGCGUUAUCCGGAUUUACUGGGUGUAAAGGUCGUGUAGGCGGGAGAGCAAGUCAGACGUGAAAUUCCAGGGCUCAACCCUGGAACUGCGUUUGAAACUGUUCUUCUUGAGUGAUGGAGAGGCAGGCGGAAUGCCGUGUGUAGCGGUGAAAUGCGUAGAUAUACGGAGGAACACCAGUGGCGAAGGCGGCCUGCUGGACAUUAACUGACGCUGAGGCGCGAAAGCGUGGGGAGCAAACAGGAGUAGAUACCCGAGUAGUC